This is a long non-coding RNA of Hypanus sabinus (Atlantic stingray), 1376 nucleotides long. RefSeq lists it as uncharacterized. The record is from RefSeq and is a predicted model, not a curated record. The transcript is spliced from 3 exons. Lineage: Eukaryota; Metazoa; Chordata; Chondrichthyes; Myliobatiformes; Dasyatidae.
AUCCGGAACAAAAUUCCUUCUGGACCCCUGAAAGCCACGAGAAUAAUUAAAAUUCUGCAUUGUUCUUCACCAUUUCACAUUGGAGAAUAUCAAUAAAUAUCUACCUUACUUCACUUGGAUGGAUGCAGUGCAGCGGUUAAGAUACCUGCAAGAAAAUGAAUCUCAUGAUAGUAAAAGGUCAAUGAAAAGGACUCUAUGAAAUUAUUUUCAUGGCAUAAGCAGGAUCCUUUCAGUGCCCUGGCCACCAUAUAUCUUUCAAUCAGGUUAACACAGAUUAUUCAGCUAUGUUGAGACAGAGCCAAUAAAUUAAGCCCCAUGAACCUGGUCUGCCAUUCAUGAUUGAUCAGCGUCUCAAUGCAUAGGACUGGCUGACUAACAACAACCUUGCACUCAACAUCAGUAAGUCCAAGGGAUUGACUGUGGAGUUCUGGAAGGGAAAGUCACACAUCAGACUUCAUUGCGAGGACAGCAGUGGAAUGGGUGAGCAGUUUCAAACUCCUGGGUGUCAACGUCUCUGAAGAUCUACCCUGGACCAAAAAUAUUGAUGCAAUCAGGAUGAAGGCAUGUAGCAGCUAUAGUUUAUUAGGAGUUUGAGGAGAUUGGAUAUGUCAUCAAAUACUCUAGCAAAUUUCUACAGAUGGACCAUGGAGAACAUUCCAACUGGUUGCAUCAUCAUCUGGUAUGACAGGGUCAUUGAACAAGAUUGGUAAAAGCUACAGAGGGAUGCCAGCUCUAUCAUGAGCACUAACCUUCUUACAUCUUAAAAAAUUGAUGUCUCAAAAAGGCAGCGUCCAUCAUUAAGGACACUCACCAUCCAGAACAUGACCUCUUCUCAUUAAUACCAUCAAAGAGAAGGUACAGGAGCCUGAAAAUGUACUCUCAGCAUUUCAGGAACAGCUUCUUUCACACUGCCAUCAGGUUUCUAUAUUAUCUCACUAUUUUUGUGCUACUUGUAUAUAUACUGUACAUAUUUCUCACUGUAAUUUAUAGUAUACUUUACGUAUGAUACUAUACUGCAUCUGCAAAACAAUUUUCACUGAUACAUCAGUGAUAAUAAACCUGAUUUUGAGCUGCAUUUACCCACUGAACCAUCAAAACCUUUUUGGAUUUUGAGAAAUUGUCAUCAGCAAGCAGUUGCCAAGUUACUUACGGAACAAGAAUUUCAAUUGAAAAUCAAUUUACUCACAGUAAAACUGUUUUAAGACAUUCUGAGAUCUUGGCAGAUGUCCAAUUAAUAUAAUUCUAUCUUUCAUUAAAUUGGAUAUGAGAGAACAUAAUAAUAUAAAGUUUCUUUAAAUGCAAAAUAGGCAUAACAGUUUUAAAGAAGUGUAUUGUUUAGGAAAUAUAAUGCAACUUAAGUAGGCAUGAAAUUGAUU